Molecule: transfer RNA, 67 nt
Filed under: Processina sexmaculata
Lineage: Eukaryota; Metazoa; Arthropoda; Insecta; Hemiptera; Cicadellidae
Description: tRNA-Leu
Source: RNAcentral
UCUAAUGUGGCAGACUAAUUGCCAGGAAUUUAAGAUUCCUAUAUAAAUAUUUAAUAUUUCUUUAGAA